AACGAACGCUGGCGGCAUGCCUAACACAUGCCAGUCGAACGAGACCUUCGGGUCUAGUGGCGCACGGGUGCGUAACGCGUGGGAACCUGCCCUUAGGUUCGGAAUAACUCCCCGAAAGGGGUGCUAAUACCGGAUAAUGUCCUCGGACCAAAGAUUUAUCGCCUUUGGAUGGGCCCGCGUUGGAUUAGCUAGUUGGUAGGGUAAAAGCCUACCAAGGCGACGAUCCAUAGCUGGUCUGAGAGGAUGAUCAGCCACACUGGGACUGAGACACGGCCCAGACUCCUACGGGAGGCAGCAGUGGGGAAUAUUGGACAAUGGGCGAAAGCCUGAUCCAGCAAUGCCGCGUGAGUGAUGAAGGCCUUAGGGUUGUAAAGCUCUUUUACCCGGGAUGAUAAUGACAGUACCGGGAGAAUAAGCACCGGCUAACUCCGUG
Molecule: ribosomal RNA, 433 nt
Filed under: uncultured bacterium
Lineage: Bacteria
Description: partial 16S ribosomal RNA
Rfam family: Bacterial small subunit ribosomal RNA
Source: RNAcentral